This 523-nucleotide long non-coding RNA is filed under the name Lathyrus oleraceus (garden pea). RNAcentral describes it as "Pisum sativum (pea) long non-coding RNA (PSAT_LNC000930)". The record is from RNAcentral. Lineage: Eukaryota; Viridiplantae; Streptophyta; Magnoliopsida; Fabales; Fabaceae.
GAAACGCAUGUUGGUUCUUAAAAUGAAGUCAAUAACCUGAAUAUGAGCUAUUCAGCAGUGAAAAUGAAAAUACACUGACGACAUUGAUGAAAAUUCUGACAAUUUAACUUAGGUGAACUUUUGACCUAUUGUGACCAAUAGGAUAUAAGAUGCAACAAACAUGAUAGAGGAUUCAUAUCGGAAUCUAUUAUGCAAUUAUAUCACUUCAUAUUGAGAGAUUCCAACUUAAAUAAAACCAAUGCCCUUUUGCUCUGAAUCUAUUAUGCAAUUAUAUCACUUCAUAUUGAGAGAUUCCAACUUAAAUAAAACCAAUGCCCUUUUGCUCUACAUUUCAUUUUCAUGUCGUGUGUCACGACACCAGUGGUUUGUAAAAUUAUUUGUUGAAAUUUCCAUUUAUCUCACUUCCAUUUUUAAAAAAUCCCGAUUCCCUCUCUUCCCUCUCUACGCUUUCACAACUUCAUUUUCACUCUCUCCCUUAUCAAGACUCUAUUCUGAUCUAAAGCUUCAAUAACAACUUGCUUCU